Molecule: long non-coding RNA, 3444 nt
Organism: Pseudopipra pipra
Lineage: Eukaryota; Metazoa; Chordata; Aves; Passeriformes; Pipridae
Exons: 2
Source: RefSeq, a predicted model, not a curated record
GGGGAGGACACGUGACGCAGGGAAGGAGGAAUCAGGAAAGGGCUUACAUUGAACCAAUAGGAAAAAGGGUAACAGGGUUACAGUGUAGGGUACGACACAUUUUUAUAAGGAAAUAUAUUAUACUAAUAAUAAAAUAAUUGCACAACGGAGUAAAGGCACGGUGAAACAAACACUCUCACAGUUCCGACAACCGCGCUCAGCGCGCCACGGGAUGUUCAAAUACCACAGCCCUGACAACACAAGCCAACAAACAGAGGAAAACAUGCUGCUGUGUUUCCCCUUCUUUGAGAUAGCCAAGAAAGCUGAGGAUUUGGAACUGACCUGCAAUACAGACAAGUUCUUAUUUUAAACAAACUGUUUUAUAAUUUUAAAUAUAAUAUAUAAAAACACAUCCUUGUUUUCACUUACCUUUUCAAAGACUGGAAAGUAUCUGUUAGUUGCCCUCUCCUUAAUUGAGUCAAGAUUUUUCUCCUUUGCAUCAGGUGGAGAGAAAGGAAACAUCAAAAUCAUUUGCAUCAGAUCUGAUAUUCCUUCCACAUACAUGUCAAUCCUAUUGAUCAGGAGAAGACAGUAGAAAAGAGCACAGAAGUUAUUUUUUCUGUUUUCCAAUUAACUAAGGCAACUUGGAGGAAUUUUAUACCACCAAUAUAGUGGCAAUUUUCACAGCCAAAACUAAACACAAACUAAACCUAAAUGUUUUUCAAAAAUAAUAAAACCCUGAUUCUGUUUAGGAGCAUUUCAGAAGCAGUUGUUAAAACUUAUUGUGUUAGCUUUUCUCAUACCUUUAUACCAGAUUUACAGGAUAGAAUUUGGUUUAUAUAAUGUAGCUAUCAAAUAACAGAUUGCUCAUUAAGGGAAAGGCAGUGUUACAUACAGGGCUCUCUCCUUCAAGUCUUUCCCAUAGAGAUUGUAUUUCCCUGCUAUGUAGCUGAGGAUGGCUCUGGUCUGCACCAUCUUCAUCCCAUCGAUCUCAACCAGGGGCACUUGCUGGAACAGCAGGACUCCAUCUAGGGUAGAGAGUUAGCCUGUUAGUUUCUCCUAGAUUGCAAGCAGGACAGGAGAGCAAGAGACUGAGCACAUUUAUCUUGCGGUGUAGGAGACCACUGAUGUCUUGUCCUAACUGUAAAACUUCAUGCAGUAAACUAACAUUGUGGGAAAGAUCAAAUAGCCUGUAUCACACUUCUGUAGCUAGGUCAUUGCACUGCAGCUGGGCCCUGGCUUUACAGCCUUACCAGAGCUUCACUGACUGCUGGCAGCUGGCAGUGCCUGCUCCUUUGCACUUCUGGACCCUGCCUCAUGCUGGCAGAAAAAGCCUGAACCAGCAUUUUCAGCCAAGGAAUAAGAGGAGAAUAAAGAUAUAUGUUAAAUCUGAAUUUUAAAAAAGUCUGGUGCAACCUGUGUAGCCAUAGGUUGCCCAGGUUGCAUAGAAUAUAUAUAUGCAGGAUUAAAAGCAGUUUACCAGUAAUUUCAGGGGUUGGACUGGCAAAUUAAAUUCCGAUCUACUUAAUACCACUUUUUUAUUUUUGUUCAUUUUAACUCUACUGUCAGAAUUUCUUUAAACACAGCUAAUCCUUUCUGAGCUCAGCCUGAAUGCCAUCAAGUCCUCUUUCGAGUCUCCUGGUAUGUCUUGGCAAGCUCAGCCUGCUGUGAGGUUUCUCUCACGUGUCUUGGGCAGCAGGUAAACUGUGGGGCACGUGCAUUCUGUGAUGCUCCUCACAGUCUCAACUCCUUCCCCACCUUGGCAGCAAGGUCCUCUUCCAGGGUGGCUGUGGUGGGGUUCACUGCUGGAUUUCAUCUUAGCAGAUAUCAAGGGCAGUGGCUGGGGGUUAUGCACUGGUGUUUAGGAACUGAUCUCAUCUCUCCCAAGGCUGACACGAAGUCUUUGCUGCUUUGACCAUGUCAGGCUUUCCACAGGUCUCUCUGCUGGCUCCAUGUUUUUAUCUAGGGGAAGCUUCAUAUCUGAGGCUUAUUCUGCUUAGAACUGUCACUAGGGUGUUCACACAGAGCCUCAGAAACAGAAACUCGUUUUCUUGGAGAUUUUGGGGCCAUGUCAGCCUUUCAUUUAGAGGCUUAUCUAACUGCAUUCAGAAUCAACACAGAGGUAAAUCUGUACCCAUCAACUCCACAACACCUCAGGCCAGCUGGCUGGCCACAUUCACUCUACUUCACCCUCUCUGCCUAUAGAGUAUGAUGGUUACCUCUGAAUGACAUCUUGGAAAUGGCCCUUGGUCUGAGACAACUCCCAAAUGAUGCCUAGGAAUUGCUUAGCAACUGUUAUUUGCCAUGGACCAAAAAUGUGCCAGGAACCAUGCUAACAGUUCAACAGCAUAGAUAAUUAAGAUGUAUUAAAUAGAAGUGUUUGCCUGUUUAAUGUUCUGCAAUAAAGACAGUCACAGAAGCUAUGGCUUUUAGCUUAUAGGAAUUAUAUUAUAUGGCACUGGAAAUAACAGGUUAUUCAAAACUAGUAUUGCAGUACUCAAGGUGUGCACCUAGAAGUUUGCAUUCAUUUAAAUAAACUAUUUUUAAACCACAAAUUUAGCUAAAUUGGAGAAAUAUUUUCAGGGACUAAAACUCAGGUCUUGGGAUUCUUACCUUUGAUUAACUUGUCAUAUUGUUCUUUUGUUUGCAAAAAAACCUCUUCAAACUAAAAAGGAGAGAGAAUAGUGUUACACUGCUGUAUUUGAACACUCUUCUUCUCUAAGUGACUGCACAUAACCAUGCACAGAACACGGAGUCAAGUAAAAUGUAAUGGGCCAGAUCUUCAGCUGCUCUGUUUGAGCCCAGAUGUCCUGAGGAUCCCACACACACCCUGACAGCUGAUGGGGAGCAGAAGGGCCUGGCCACUUCUGCAUCAGGGCACUGAUUCAGAAAUAACCUAAAUGCAGGUAGAAACAGAGAGCAGGCAUCUACAGGAACAAGACAGGUUGGAGCCAAUGCCAAGGAAAACACAAGGUAAAUCAAAUAUUUCUAACCCCACCCCAGUCAACAACACUCUUCUAUUAGACACACUGCAACUGCAAAUUAACAAGACUGAGUUAAGGUGGUUUUGCAUGGCUAGAAAAAUCAGAUUAAGCAUAAUGGGUCAAAAUGGGGCUUUAUUUAAAGGCCCUUCAGUAGUUUCUUAAGAGUAUUGAUACUAGCCCUAAUAAACUCUAAGCUCAGCUGAGUUUGCAUCCCAAGUAUUAACCACCAAACAAAGUAGUUACAAAAAUGCAGUCCCACUGGCCAAAUGAAUUUCACCACCCUCAUGGAGCUGUUUAUCCUCCCCAUCCAUGUUAAAUUGUUCCUCAGUGAAGCCAGCUGAGAACACCAGUCUUUAACACUGUACCAAAUGCAAACCCACCUCCACGCCGGCUGCAGCCAACAGCCAUCGUAUGGGCUCCAUCCGCCCCCUUCCAUUCAAGUAGGUAAGCCUGGGCUUCCCCGACAUGCUGCUGUGCUCCU